AUGGCAGCCGCCGACAUCCGCCUCUCCGUCGCCCACCAGACGCGCUUUGCACUCCGCCUCGCCUCCGCCAUCUCCUCGCCCUCCAACGCCGACGGUGCCGCCGGCAACGCAGCCUUCUCCCCGCUCUCUCUCCACGUCGCGCUCAGCCUCGUCGCCGCCGGCGCGGGCGGUGCCACCCGCGAUCAGCUGGCCGCUACACUCGGUGCCGAAGGGCCCGGCGAGGCGGAGAGCCUCCACGCGCUCGCCCAGCAGGUGGUGCAGCUGGUGCUCGCCGACGCAUCGGUCGAGGGCGGUCCGCGCGUCGCGUUCGCUAACGGCGUCUUCGUCGACACGUCGACGCCGCUCAGGUCGUCCUUCAAGGAGGUCGCCGUUGGGAAGUACAAGGCCGAGACCCACUCCGUCGACUUCCAAACUAAGGCUGCUGAAGUUGCGUGUCAAGUGAACACAUGGGUAGAGAAACUCACAUCAGGUCUCAUCAAAGAGAUCCUACCGGAUGGAUCUGUCGACAGCACCACUAGACUUGUUCUUGGCAAUGCCCUUUAUUUCAAAGGAGCAUGGACAGAGGAGUUUGAUGCAUCCAAGACCAAAGACGGCGAGUUCCACCUUCUUGACGGGAGCUCAGUACAAGCAUCAUUCAUGUCUAGCACAAACGAGCAGUAUCUUUCGUCUCACGACAACUUGAAAGUACUCAAGCUUCCUUACCGGCAAGGCGGGGACAUGAGGCAAUUUUCCAUGUACAUACUUCUCCCAGAAGCAAAUGACGGUCUUUGGAACUUGGCCGGAAAGGUGAGCUCGGAACCAGAGUUCCUAGAGAAGCAUACCCCAACUGAGAAGGUCCUAGUCAGAAAUUUCAAGCUUCCCAAGUUCAAGAUUUCGUUUGGAUUCGAAGCUUCCAGUUUGCUCAAAGGUUUGGGACUGCAUCUCCCAUUUAGCUGUGAAGCCGAUCUUUCGGAGAUGGUGGAUUCAGCAGCGGAGCAGAAUUUGUACAUCUCCUCAGUUUUCCACAAGUCCUUUGUUGAAGUGAAUGAAGAAGGAACAGAGGCUGCAGCCGCAACGGCUGCAGUGGUUAUGCUAAUGUCACUGCCAUUAGACCCGCCAAUGGAGAUGGAUUUUGUCGCAGAUCACCCAUUCCUGUUCGUGAUCCGAGAAGAUUUGACUGGUGUGGUGUUGUUUGUUGGCCAUGUGGUCAAUCCUUUACUUGCAGCAUAG
This 1209-nucleotide ribosomal RNA is filed under the name Triticum aestivum (bread wheat). Its description in RNAcentral is "partial small subunit ribosomal RNA". Lineage: Eukaryota; Viridiplantae; Streptophyta; Magnoliopsida; Poales; Poaceae. The record is from RNAcentral.